This 616-nucleotide ribosomal RNA is filed under the name Leuconostoc mesenteroides. RNAcentral describes it as "bacterial SSU rRNA". It matches the Rfam family "Bacterial small subunit ribosomal RNA", at positions 63 to 665 of the family's 1533-position model. Lineage: Bacteria; Bacillati; Bacillota; Bacilli; Lactobacillales; Lactobacillaceae. The record is from RNAcentral.
CGCACAGCGAAAGGUGCUUGCACCUUUCAAGUGAGUGGCGAACGGGUGAGUAACACGUGGACAACCUGCCUCAAGGCUGGGGAUAACAUUUGGAAACAGAUGCUAAUACCGAAUAAAACUUAGUGUCGCAUGACACAAAGUUAAAAGGCGCUUCGGCGUCACCUAGAGAUGGAUCCGCGGUGCAUUAGUUAGUUGGUGGGGUAAAGGCCUACCAAGACAAUGAUGCAUAGCCGAGUUGAGAGACUGAUCGGCCACAUUGGGACUGAGACACGGCCCAAACUCCUACGGGAGGCUGCAGUAGGGAAUCUUCCACAAUGGGCGAAAGCCUGAUGGAGCAACGCCGCGUGUGUGAUGAAGGCUUUCGGGUCGUAAAGCACUGUUGUAUGGGAAGAACAGCUAGAAUAGGAAAUGAUUUUAGUUUGACGGUACCAUACCAGAAAGGGACGGCUAAAUACGUGCCAGCAGCCGCGGUAAUACGUAUGUCCCGAGCGUUAUCCGGAUUUAUUGGGCGUAAAGCGAGCGCAGACGGUUUAUUAAGUCUGAUGUGAAAGCCCGGAGCUCAACUCCGGAAUGGCAUUGGAAACUGGUUAACUUGAGUGCAGUAGAGGUAAGUGGA